CAGAGUGUAAAAACUCCCAAACCCAUUGUGAACCUUACCACUGUUGCUUCGGCGGACCCGCCCCGGGCGCUCCCAGCGAGUGCCCCGGAACCAGGCGACCGCCGGGGACCCCCAAACUCUUGUCUUUUUUAGAGGAUCUCUGAGUGUGAUUCUUACAAAUCAAAUCA
Molecule: unclassified non-coding RNA, 167 nt
Filed under: uncultured Bionectriaceae
Lineage: Eukaryota; Fungi; Ascomycota; Sordariomycetes; Hypocreales
Description: sequence contains ITS1
Source: RNAcentral